This 262-nucleotide long non-coding RNA is filed under the name Pan troglodytes (chimpanzee). RNAcentral's name for it is "long non-coding RNA NONPTRT009441". The record is from RNAcentral. Lineage: Eukaryota; Metazoa; Chordata; Mammalia; Primates; Hominidae.
GGGUGCUUCUCACUAAUGUCGCAGCUUGGUCAUGUGAAUUACUUUGGUCAAUGAGACAUGAACAAAUAUGAUACAAGCAGAGGCUUUAAAAGACUUGCAUAUUGGAGCUUGCUCUCAUUUUCUGUACUUGGAAUUCUGCAAUUGCCAUCAUGUGAACAAGCCCUGGCUACCCUCCUGGAUGAUUAUAGCCAAAUCACCUCCAUCACUCAAGGUGACAUUGAGUCAACUGCCUGAAGCCAUCCUAGACCAUCCAGCUUCAGCU